This 95-nucleotide ribosomal RNA is filed under the name uncultured bacterium. Its description in RNAcentral is "partial 16S ribosomal RNA". It matches the Rfam family "Bacterial small subunit ribosomal RNA", at positions 1390 to 1482 of the family's 1533-position model. The record is from RNAcentral.
CCGCCCGUCACACCAUGAGAGCUGACUGUACCAGAAGUCGCUCGGCUAACCCGCAAGGGAGGCAGGCGCCUAAGGUAUGGUUGGUGAUUGGGGUG